This is an RNA transcript of Carya illinoinensis, 1249 nucleotides long. RefSeq lists it as uncharacterized. NCBI's taxonomy places the organism in Eukaryota, Viridiplantae, Streptophyta, Magnoliopsida, Fagales, Juglandaceae. The transcript has 4 exons. The record is from RefSeq and is a predicted model, not a curated record.
CAAAACAAUAAAAAGAGGAAAACACGAAACGUGCUUCAGAAGAUUUGUUUCAUCUCUCCCGUUCGUCCGCUGUAGCCUCUUUGAGCACCUCUGCGAGCACAUCCUCCGCGACCACGUCCUCCGAGUUCACUUCACAGAUCUUCUCCACCAUUUUUAGUGUCGCGACCAACUCUUGCCUCACUUUCUCCAUUUUCAUCUCUCAUUUGUCUUUGUGAUUAGUCCGCUGUGCACCUGCAAUAAGACACUUUUUUUCAUUUAGAAAAAAACGAAGAGAAGAAGAUUGGACGACCUCAACCAUUUUCAUCUGUCUCCCCACUUGAAAAUAUGACGCAAAUCUCCUCAGCCAUUUUUUGUCUCCCCUCCACUGCAGAUUGGCCGAUCUCCUCCGCAGUUUGCCGACCAAAGUUCUUCGUCUCCCCUUGUUCCUCCCUCCACUGCAAAUUGGCCGAUCUCCUCCGCAACCUACCUCCUAAGCGUCAGAUCCUGAAGCUCGUCUACACUACUCUGCGGCUCUGCCACUACGUGAAUUCCUCUGCGUCAUCUCUAGUAGCCUGAUAGAUGAUCGCUCCUGAAGCUGCAAUGUAGAGACCUACCUCAACCAAUUUGCUUAAAAUCUGUUGUAAUUGCCUUAGUUUGGUGUUCUGAAAAACUGGGAGUGGGAUGGAUUUAGGUAGAGAGAACGAGAAUCGAUGGGAGAGGAGAAGAGAAUGUAGCCUCAAGAAUUAAAUUUGUGACUUCUCAGCUGCACAUGACAAAAAGCAAAGGAAAUGCUCUAUCUGAACUUGGUAUUCAUAGAUGCAAAUUAGGGUGGAUGAAAUACAACCAGGGGUGGAUGAACACAACCUGAGCUAUAGUUGGGGAUUUUGGUUUUGUUAUCAUUGAUUAAGGUACAAGUGUUGGUGAAAUUACAAGUACAGCAACCAAGAGCUGAGUGAAGCAUUCAGGGAUAUAGAACUAUUAAUUUCUGUAAAUAUACUUCAUGAAUAAUGGGCUGUAAAAAAUAUUUAUUUGUUUUCCCAUGUAGUGUGUGGUUUGGACUUUACAUUUGCUUCAUGGGCUGUAAAAAAUACUUAUGAGUUCAUUUUAAUAGAUGUGGGUGUGAUUUUAUAUUAGUAUCAGGAGUAUGAGGUUGAUAGAUGUGGAUGUGCUUUUGUAUUUGACAGCUUCUCAUCCUGAAGUGCUAUCAGGUUGGUAGAUGUCAGUUUGCAAAGAUAUGAACUUGGAAUGAGAUCGUCAUUUUGAUUGCAUA